Long non-coding RNA from Oncorhynchus kisutch (coho salmon), 4786 nucleotides. RefSeq lists it as uncharacterized. The transcript is spliced from 2 exons. The record is from RefSeq and is a predicted model, not a curated record. NCBI's taxonomy places the organism in Eukaryota, Metazoa, Chordata, Actinopteri, Salmoniformes, Salmonidae.
AUGUCCAUGUAAUCUUAUUCAUUAUAAUCUAGGAUCAUACCCCCCCCUCCUCCCCCAUGUAAUCUUAUUGGUUCUGAUCUGAAAGCCUAAACUGAUCCUACAGUAGAUCAGCAGGUCUGAACUGAUCCUACAGUAGAUCAGCAGGUCUGAACCGAUCCUACAGUAGAUCAGCAGGUCUGAACCGAUCCUACAGUAGAUCAGCAGGUCUGAACCGAUCCUACAGUAGAUCAGCAGGUCUGAACCGAUCCUACAGUAGAUCAGCAGGUCUGAACCGAUCCUACAGUAGAUCAGCAGGUCUGGACCGAUCCUACAGUAGAUCAGCAGGUCUGAACCGAUCCUACAGUAGAUCAGCAGGUCUGAACCGAUCCUACAGUAGAUCAGCAGGUCAGAACUGAUCCUACAGCAGGUCAAAACUGAUCCCACAGCAGAUCAGCAGGUCGAAACUGAUCCUACAGCAGAUCAGCAGGUCAAAACUGAUCCUACAGCAGAUCAGCAGGUCGAAACUGAUCCUACAGUAGAUCAGCAGGUCUAAACUGAUCCUACAGCAGAUCUAAACUGAUCCUACAGCAGAUCUAAACUGAUCCUACAGCAGAUCAGCAGGUCUAAACUGAUCCUACAGUAGAUCAGCAGGUCGAAACUGAUCCUACAGCAGGUCGAAACUGAGCCUACAGCAGAUCAGCAGGUCUAAACUGAUCCUACAGCAGAUCUAAACUGAUCCUACAGCAGAUCAGCAGGUCUAAACUGAUCCUACAGUAGAUCAGCAGGUCAGAACUGAUCCUACAGCAGGUCAAAACUGAUCCCACAGCAGAUCAGCAGGUCGAAACUGAUCCUACAGCAGAUCAGCAGGUCAAAACUGAUCCUACAGCAGAUCAGCAGGUCGAAACUGAUCCUACAGUAGAUCAGCAGGUCUAAACUGAUCCUACAGCAGAUCUAAACUGAUCCUACAGCAGAUCUAAACUGAUCCUACAGCAGAUCAGCAGGUCUAAACUGAUCCUACAGUAGAUCAGCAGGUCGAAACUGAUCCUACAGCAGGUCGAAACUGAGCCUACAGCAGAUCAGCAGGUCUAAACUGAUCCUACAGCAGAUCUAAACUGAUCCUACAGCAGAUCAGCAGGUCUAAACGGGUCCUACAGUAGAUCAGCAGGUCUAAAUGGGUCCUACAGUAGAUCAGCAGGUCUAAACGGAUCCUACAGUAGAUCAGCAGGUCUAAACGGAUCCUACAGUAGAUCAGCAGGUCGAAACUGAUCCUACAGCAGAUCAGCAGGUCUAAACUGAUCCUACAGCAGAUCAGCAGGUCUAAACUGAUCCUACAGUAGAUCAGCAGGUCUAAACUGAUCCUACAGUAGAUCAGCAGGUCUAAACUGAUCCUACAGUAGAUCAGCAGGUCUAAACGGAUCCUACAGUAGAUCAGCAGGUCUAAACGGAUCCUACAGUAGAUCAGCAGGUCGAAACUGAUCCUACAGCAGAUCAGCAGGUCUAAACUGAUCCUACAGUAGAUCAGCAGGUCUAAACUGAUCCUACAGUAGAUCAGCAGGUCUGAACCGAUCCUACAGCAGAUCAGCAGGUCUAAACUGAUCCUACAGUAGAUCAGCAGGUCUAAACUGAUCCUACAGUAGAUCAGCAGGUCUGAACCGAUCCUACAGUAGAUCAGCAGGUCUAAACUGAUCCUACAGCAGGUCUGAACUGAUCCUACAGUAGAUCAGCAGGUCUAAACUGAUCCUACAGCAGAUCAGCAGGUCGAAACUGAUCCUACAGCAGAUCAGCAGGUCAAAACUGAUCCUACAGCAGAUCAGCAGGUCGAAACUGAUCCUACAGUAGAUCAGCAGGUCUAAACUGAUCCUACAGCAGAUCUAAACUGAUCCUACAGCAGAUCUAAACUGAUCCUACAGCAGAUCAGCAGGUCUAAACUGAUCCUACAGUAGAUCAGCAGGUCGAAACUGAUCCUACAGCAGGUCGAAACUGAGCCUACAGCAGAUCAGCAGGUCUAAACUGAUCCUACAGCAGAUCUAAACUGAUCCUACAGCAGAUCAGCAGGUCUAAACUGAUCCUACAGUAGAUCAGCAGGUCAGAACUGAUCCUACAGCAGGUCAAAACUGAUCCCACAGCAGAUCAGCAGGUCGAAACUGAUCCUACAGCAGAUCAGCAGGUCAAAACUGAUCCUACAGCAGAUCAGCAGGUCGAAACUGAUCCUACAGUAGAUCAGCAGGUCUAAACUGAUCCUACAGCAGAUCUAAACUGAUCCUACAGCAGAUCUAAACUGAUCCUACAGCAGAUCAGCAGGUCUAAACUGAUCCUACAGUAGAUCAGCAGGUCGAAACUGAUCCUACAGCAGGUCGAAACUGAGCCUACAGCAGAUCAGCAGGUCUAAACUGAUCCUACAGCAGAUCUAAACUGAUCCUACAGCAGAUCAGCAGGUCUAAACGGGUCCUACAGUAGAUCAGCAGGUCUAAAUGGGUCCUACAGUAGAUCAGCAGGUCUAAACGGAUCCUACAGUAGAUCAGCAGGUCUAAACGGAUCCUACAGUAGAUCAGCAGGUCGAAACUGAUCCUACAGCAGAUCAGCAGGUCUAAACUGAUCCUACAGCAGAUCAGCAGGUCUAAACUGAUCCUACAGUAGAUCAGCAGGUCUAAACUGAUCCUACAGUAGAUCAGCAGGUCUAAACUGAUCCUACAGUAGAUCAGCAGGUCUAAACGGAUCCUACAGUAGAUCAGCAGGUCUAAACGGAUCCUACAGUAGAUCAGCAGGUCGAAACUGAUCCUACAGCAGAUCAGCAGGUCUAAACUGAUCCUACAGUAGAUCAGCAGGUCUAAACUGAUCCUACAGUAGAUCAGCAGGUCUGAACCGAUCCUACAGCAGAUCAGCAGGUCUAAACUGAUCCUACAGUAGAUCAGCAGGUCUAAACUGAUCCUACAGUAGAUCAGCAGGUCUGAACCGAUCCUACAGUAGAUCAGCAGGUCUAAACUGAUCCUACAGCAGGUCUGAACUGAUCCUACAGUAGAUCAGCAGGUCUAAACUGAUCCUACAGCAGGUCUGAACUGAUCCUACAGCAGAUCAGCAGGUCUGAACUGAUCCUACAGCAGGUCUGAACUGAUCCUACAGCAGAUCAGCAGGUCGACUAUGAGAUGCUUUAUAAAUAUACGGCCCUAGAUUGUCUUUGUAAAUUAACCUUUAAGUGUUUCAUCGAUAUCAGACCUGUGAUGUUUUGUAUCCAGUUCGUGUUUCUGUCUCCUGCUGUGUUAGUUGUCUGUCUGGCAGGGCAGUUGUGUCAUUCUCCUGUUUUAGACGAGUCGGUAGUACGAUACAACACAACAGUGUUUGCAUAGCAACAACCUACUUUUCAUAAACUCCCCCAAACAAAAGCCAAUUCCUCCGGAGAACAAAAGCAGCAUAUUAGGAUUUUUUAAUAUUUUACCUUUAUUUAACCAGGCAAGUCAGUUAAGAACACAUUCUUAUUUUCAAUGACGGCCUGGGAACAGUGGGGUUAACUGCCUGUUCAGGGGCAGAACGACAGAUUUUGUACCUUGUCAGCUCGGGGGUUUGAACUCACAACCUUCCGGUUACUAGUCCAACGCUCUAACCACUAGGCUACCCUGCCGCCCCACAUGGAGUUAGGAUUUGUUUGUUUGUUUGUUGUAAACAUUAAGUUAUGAGCUGUUUCAAAAUGAAGUUUUGAUUCAAAUUGAAAAUAUGUCAAAUGUGGUGAGUUUGUUUUGAUAGUCCAGAUGAAUAUAUUCGGCCUAAAAACCUACACGAAUAUAAAUAUUGACCUGAUGAUGAUGAUGAUGAUGAGACUGUUUUUAUAUGAGUGAUGUGCUUUACAUACUGAUUAGUGCUGCUAAGCUAAAUGUUUCUUUGAUUUGUAAUCAUCACACUGACCUCAAGGGUUGGUCUGAUCUAGUUGGCUUUUAGGAUGGGUGUUUAUGGGUUGGACAUACAGGGGGUCGGUUUCCCCAGACCCAGGUUAAGUUUAUUCCUGGACUGAAAAGCACUUUUAACUUUAAAAAAAAUUCUCAACUGAGAAUGCUUUUUUAAAUUUUAGAAGUGGCUUAACUUUUUGUCUGAGUAAACAGACCCAAACUGUAGCACUGUUUAGUCCUGACUUCUAUUUUAGUCAAAUAUUCCCAUUGACAUCAAUGCAAACUGAUGACGAUCCUCCCUUUUCAAAGAAGACAUGCCCUUGAGGAACAAAUGAUUGAAUAUGUACAUGUACCACAUUGUUGUUGAUGAAUUAGCUGAUUUUUCUAGGCAGUGAGUAAGACUUGCGGGAAACAAAAAUCCUUUAGAGAGCUCAACGGAAGUUAGUUUAAACGAGGCUGCAAUAAUUUAGUGACAAAAUUAAACGAGUCACCUCACUUGUCGUGGUUUUAAAAUGUUUUUCUCUGACCUGUGUUAUAUAUAUAUAUGGAGCUGUACAGCUUUAACACAAUAGUGGAGAACUCCCAGCCAAUAGUAUCAGCCUCUCAGGGUUGAAGGUCACUGAUAUGCAAAUGAGCUGUAUGUUCCUGUUUUGACUUGUGCCUGCGUGCACUCUGUUAUUUCACCAUGCUUCUGUAUGGAUAUAAAUGUAAAAGUAGUAGCACGUCGUUCUCCAUUGUUGUCAAGUUAAUUCUACCGUGCCAGCAAGAGCACAACAACCUGUAUGUACAUAGGUGAUGACAAAACUGUUCCCUCUGAUAAAAAAAAAAAAUGUGUAUAUAAUAUUGUUUCUAAAUGACUAUUUAACCCUCUAUGAUGUUACAUCUCCUAGUUUCCAUUGUACAUAGGAAAAUAAAACGGUUAAAGAAAA